GGCUGGUCUUUAUCAUAUUUUUUUGUACAGUUAUAAGCCCAAAAAUUAUGCCCUCCUUCACAUUUUUCAAAGCAGUCCAUUGAGGCAGGUUGGAGUCCUUGUUGGGCCUAUUUUGGCGCCUGGGCCUUAUGUUUGACACCCUUUCCAUAAACCCUAGAGAUGCUUGUGUGGCAAAAUCCCAGUAUAUCAGCAGCCACGCUCAGAGUCACUUAAUUCCUUUUCCUUUCUCAUUCUGAAGCUCGGUUUGAACUCCAGCAGGUCGUCUUGUCCGUGCCUUCGUGCCUAAACGCUCCGAGCUGCUGCCGAGUUAAAUAAUUGAUCCUGAUUUUGGGGUCGCGGCAAGCAGGAAGGUCAGAGGGCACGUGUCUGCUCGCGUCACCGACCUCAUCCAGGAUCUCUCUGUUGCGGGUCAACAGCUCGGGCAGGUCUUUGAUGAGCUGCUCGAUGCUCUGCAGUCCUCCGUGCUGCACGACGUUCCUGGCCUUCUCAGCAAUGGAUUGUGGGAUGGAGUCUCCUGACAGAUCCUCCAGAGCAGCUGGCAGGUUUAGAGACGCCAA
This is a long non-coding RNA of Oreochromis niloticus (Nile tilapia), 557 nucleotides long. RefSeq lists it as uncharacterized. The transcript has 2 exons. The record is from RefSeq and is a predicted model, not a curated record. Lineage: Eukaryota; Metazoa; Chordata; Actinopteri; Cichliformes; Cichlidae.